RNAcentral lists this ribosomal RNA (202 nucleotides) under uncultured bacterium. RNAcentral describes it as "partial 16S ribosomal RNA". It matches the Rfam family "Bacterial small subunit ribosomal RNA", at positions 524 to 725 of the family's 1533-position model. The record is from RNAcentral.
UACGGGGGGUGCGAGCGUUGUCCGGAAUCACUGGGCGUAAAGGGCGCGUAGGUGGUUUGAUAAGGGUGUGGUGAAAGUCCGGGGCUCAACCCCGGAUCUGCCGUGCCGACUGUCAAACUCGAGGACUGUAGAGGCAGACGGAAUUCCGGGUGUAGCGGUGGAAAUGCGUAGAUAUCGGAGGAACACCGGUGGCGAAGGCGGC